UUUUCAGCAAAAUCGAGCUUCAAUACUGAUGCGGUCUUUGAGCCGAUGAGCGUGAGUGAGGCAGAGUUCAGACAGAUCGCGUGAAAAUUGAAAAUUAAAAGAAGAUGAAAUGAUAUGAAACCCUAAGCCUAAGUGACUAAGUCUGGGAAGUGGGCAUUUGAAUUUUGGGCCUUUAGAGUGUUGGGUCAGUGGUGAGUGGACGGGUGUGCUACCAGAGUAUCAGUAUUGGACAGUGUGUGCUUUUUUUAUCGGGUUAUCGAGUGGCCCAAUAGAAAAAUAAGUAAAUUUUACAUAUAUAUCGACAUGUUUAACAUUAAUUACUAAAAAUCUCAACAUCUUUCAAAAUCUCCUAAAAUUUCAACAUUUGACCUCUGGUGAUACAAGUUAAUUACAUUAGAUACAUACUGUUGAUACAUGUAUUAAUUAACUAAGUCAGACAACCUUCCAUAAAAUCAACAUUAAAGCUAAUUAAUUAAGGUAAAAAGUAAAAUCAAAUCCCACAAUUAGUGGGAAUCCGCUUAAUACUCCCCUUUGUUAAAACAUAGUCUCUUUUAAAAAAAAAUUGAAAUUUAAAAAAUCUUCAUUCUUCUUGUUCAGACAAAACAUAAUUUUUUUUUGUUGAUUUGCUAAUUUCAUUUCUUUGAUAUGAAAAAAGAGGAUAGAUAAAAUCUAGGGCUGCAUAUCGGUCGGUUCGGUUCGAUUUUGAAAAUUAUCGAUUUUACUUAUUCAUUAUCGGUUUGUAUAUAUGCUAAACCGUUAAAGAACCGUUAAGAUAGCAGUUAAUCGGUUAUCGGUUUAUCAUUGUUAUCGAUUCGGUUAUCGGGUGAACCGUUAACAUUAAACAUAUCUAAUUUAAAGUACAAAGCUAGUAAGCAGUAAGCUACUGCCUACGAUUACAUCGCUACGACCAACUGCUUAGUGUUUUUUCUUGUUUCUAUGCACAAAGUCCCUAGCACAAAGCCACAAAUAGAAUACAAAAUAUUAAAACUCAAGUCAAAAAUUAAUUUAAAACUGUUAGCACAAACAAAAUAGAAAAAUUCAAAGUAAAAGUCACACGCUCACACAAGUUGAAAAUUAAUAGGAUUAGCCGAUUAGCAGUAGAAUCAUGUUCCCAGAUGAUUCCAAGCAGUUAGAUUUAUACCAAUAAUUCCAAAACAGAAUCAUGUAAAUGAAACAACUGCUCUGAACUAGAAACUGCAGGGUAUCCACUAUCAAUUAGACUGAGAUGAUUCUGAAGAAGCAGGGUGUUUAAUAAGGAACCUAACUAGCAAAUCGAGGAGUAGACCAGAUAUGAAAAAUAGGACAGCUAAUAUAACUAUAAUGAAAAGAACAGCUGGACUAAUAUAAAAUUUAGUUCUCAGGUGGGGAUGAAGAAGAUGUGUUUAGUUCUUUGUGAAAAUCUGAAAUUUCACCAAAUGGGGGAGGGGGAUAUGUAAAGACACCAUCUUUUCUAUGUUGAAUCAAGAACUUCUCAAAUGGGUAUGACUAGAAACCCAUCUUUGUGACCCAACUUUACCAAAUGAACAAAUCAUCUCAAAAACACAUCCAAAAGAACCCAACUUUCUCAACUUCUUUUCACCAUCUCUGAACCAAAAAUCACGCAAAACACACUUGAAUUCAAGCAGUUCCAAUAAAAAAAAACCUACUAUUAACACUGCCCCAUCAGAAGACUUCUAAGAAUGAAAUCGAGCAAAAACAAAAAUUCUUACCUGUUGACUGUUGAGAGCAAAAGCAAAAAUCGACUUGGGUCUCUUCAGUUUUCAGCAAAAUCGAGCUUCAAUACUGAUGCGGUCUUUGAGCCGAUGAGCGUGAGUGAGGCAGAGUUCAGACAGAUCGCGUGAAAAUUGAAAAUUAAAAGAAGAUGAAAUGAUAUGAAACCCUAAGCCUAAGUGACUAAGUCUGGGAAUUGGGCAUUUGAAUUUUGGGCCUUUAGAGUUUUGGGUCAGUGGUGAGUGGACGGGUGUGCUACCAGAGUAUCAGUAUUGGACAGUGUGUGCUUUUUUUAUCGGGUUAUCGAGUGGCCCAAUAGAAAAAUAAGUAAAUUUUACAUAUAUAUCGACAUGUUUAACAUUAAUUACUAAAAAUCUCAACAUCUUUCAAAAUCUCCUAAAAUUUCAACAUUUGACCUCUGGUGAUACAAGUUAAUUACAUUAGAUACAUACUGUUGAUACAUGUAUUAAUUAACUAAGUCAGACAACCUUCCAUAAAAUCAACAUUAAAGCUAAUUAAUUAAGGUAAAAAGUAAAAUCAAAUCCCACAAUUAGUGGGAAUCCGCUUAAUACUCCCCUUUGUUAAAACAUAGUCUCUUUUAAAAAAAAAUUGAAAUUUAAAAAAUCUUCAUUCUUCUUGUUCAGACAAAACAUAAUUUUUUUUUGUUGAUUUGCUAAUUUCAUUUCUUUGAUAUGAAAAAAGAGGAUAGAUAAAAUCUAGGGCUGCAUAUCGGUCGGUUCGGUUCGAUUUUGAAAAUUAUCGAUUUUACUUAUUCAUUAUCGGUUUGUAUAUAUGCUAAACCGUUAAAGAACCGUUAAGAUAGCAGUUAAUCGGUUAUCGGUUUAUCAUUGUUAUCGAUUCGGUUAUCGGGUGAACCGUUAACAUUAAACAUAUCUAAUUUAAAGUACAAAGCUAGUAAGCAGUAAGCUACUGCCUACGAUUACAUCGCUACGACCAACUGCUUAGUGUUUUUUCUUGUUUCUAUGCACAAAGUCCCUAGCACAAAGCCACAAAUAGAAUACAAAAUAUUAAAACUCAAGUCAAAAAUUAAUUUAAAACUGUUAGCACAAACAAAAUAGAAAAAUUCAAAGUAAAAGUCACACGCUCACACAAGUUGAAAAUUAAUAGGAUUAGCCGAUUAGCAGUAGAAUCAUGUUCCCAGAUGAUUCCAAGCAGUUAGAUUUAUACCAAUAAUUCCAAAACAGAAUCAUGUAAAUGAAACAACUGCUCUGAACUAGAAACUGCAGGGUAUCCACUAUCAAUUAGACUGAGAUGAUUCUGAAGAAGCAGGGUGUUUAAUAAGGAACCUAACUAGCAAAUCGAGGAGUAGACCAGAUAUGAAAAAUAGGACAGCUAAUAUAACUAUAAUGAAAAGAACAGCUGGACUAAUAUAAAAUUUAGUUCUCAGGUGGGGAUGAAGAAGAUGUGUUUAGUUCUUUGUGAAAAUCUGAAAUUUCACCAAAUGGGGGAGGGGGAUAUGUAAAGACACCAUCUUUUCUAUGUUGAAUCAAGAACUUCUCAAAUGGGUAUGACUAGAAACCCAUCUUUGUGACCCAACUUUACCAAAUGAACAAAUCAUCUCAAAAACACAUCCAAAAGAACCCAACUUUCUCAACUUCUUUUCACCAUCUCUGAACCAAAAAUCACGCAAAACACACUUGAAUUCAAGCAGUUCCAAUAAAAAAAAACCUACUAUUAACACUGCCCCAUCAGAAGACUUCUAAGAAUGAAAUCGAGCAAAAACAAAAAUUCUUACCUGUUGACUGUUGAGAGCAAAAGCAAAAAUCGACUUGGGUCUCUUCAGUUUUCAGCAAAAUCGAGCUUCAAUACUGAUGCGGUCUUUGAGCCGAUGAGCGUGAGUGAGGCAGAGUUCAGACAGAUCGCGUGAAAAUUGAAAAUUAAAAGAAGAUGAAAUGAUAUGAAACCCUAAGCCUAAGUGACUAAGUCUGGGAAUUGGGCAUUUGAAUUUUGGGCCUUUAGAGUUUUGGGUCAGUGGUGAGUGGACGGGUGUGCUACCAGAGUA
This 3733-nucleotide long non-coding RNA is filed under the name Capsicum annuum. RNAcentral describes it as "long non-coding RNA (CANN_LNC004061)". The record is from RNAcentral. Lineage: Eukaryota; Viridiplantae; Streptophyta; Magnoliopsida; Solanales; Solanaceae.